This 1273-nucleotide long non-coding RNA is filed under the name Heterocephalus glaber (naked mole-rat). RNAcentral describes it as "lncRNA (ENSHGLG00000040801.1)". Lineage: Eukaryota; Metazoa; Chordata; Mammalia; Rodentia; Bathyergidae. The record is from RNAcentral.
UUAAAAAUAUUAAUUUAAAAUUUAAGCAAUAAUAAUACAUUCAAACAACAAAAAGUUUUAAAAUAGAGUGUGUGGAGCUUAAUUUGCACUCUUGCCCUGUUCCCUGCAAGUGUUACUAGCACCUUACCUGUAGGCUACGGUCAAAAUUGGGUUUUAUUCUGUGUAUGCUAGACAUUUGUUGGAGGGUUUGGGCAAGAAAUAGAUGACUUGAUGUAUAUUCUUAAAAUGAUUCUCUGGCUGCUGGUGGAGAAUUGAUGAGACUAGUGUGAGAGACUAGUUAAUCGGUUAUUACAGGGUCCAGGCAGGUUGAAGGACCAGGUUAGAGUUGAAUUGCUGAGAAGUCAGGAUCUGUUUUUUGAAGGAGGAGCCAAAAAGAUUGGUGUAUGGAUUUGUGUGGAAUGUAAUAGAGAGAUUUAAGAAUGACUCCAAGUCUGAACAAUAGGCAAGUGAUGAUGCUAUUUAUCUUUUAUCUUUUAGGAUUAUUGUGAGGAUUUAUUUAACUGGAAUGACAUGUAAAAUGCUGAGUAUAGUGCCUAGUACGUAUAAUAGUUGCUCAAUAAAUAGUAGCUGUGAUUGGUUAAUAUCUCCUUAUUUGUUCAUGUCUAGAGCCAAGAUAGAUGCUGACAUUAUACUGUCCCUCCCCCUACAAAGGAGAUUGGCUAAAAAGUCAAAUAAGUUGGUUGUGAAUCUAAUGGAUUGCAAAAGCCAGCGCAGUACUUGAGGAACAUUUCCUUAUGAGAGGAGUGUGCAGAAGCCUUUUGAGGGCAACUAACCUGGGAAAUCAAGAACACCAGGGAGGAUUAAAAACAAAGCAUCGGUGUUUCAGACAGGGUAAUGUGCCCCAACCAGGGCUGCUGGGAGGUAAGGGAAAGUACCUUUAGCCUCUUGCAAUAUCUGGUAAAGUGGUCACUUUAGCUUUGCCCUCUGUGAGCCACGUUGAGAUGGUGGUGCUGUGUCUUAUCUAAGUAAAUAAAUGGCAGGGCUUGUCUGAUCAGAGAUUUAAUUUUAAAUACGAGUAUCCAAACUUCAGAUUUGGUUUUUAAAGCCCAGAGGAUGUGAUUGCAUUCUGGGGACAUAAGAUGGGGCUAAAAACUUUCCAAAGUUCCUAUUCGGUGUGCCUAAACUCACUAGCUAGGAUCACAGCAGGGACCGCAGACGUCACACCUGGAAUCUGGAAUGAGCAUUAUAAAGUUGGCAAGGCUGAAAAGGCAUUAGUAAACAUUAUUAAGAAUUCCUUGCAGGCAAUUAGACUCCAACAAUAUCUUUGGAGAGG